RNAcentral lists this ribosomal RNA (253 nucleotides) under uncultured bacterium. Its description in RNAcentral is "partial 16S ribosomal RNA". It matches the Rfam family "Bacterial small subunit ribosomal RNA", at positions 524 to 776 of the family's 1533-position model. The record is from RNAcentral.
UACGUAGGGUGCGAGCGUUAAUCGGAAUUACUGGGCGUAAAGUGUGCGCAGGCGGCAGAGCAAGUCGAGUGUGAAAGCCCCGGGCUUAACUUGGGAAUUGCGCUCGAAACUACUUUGCUGGAGUGUGGCAGAGGAAGGUGGAAUUCCACGUGUAGCGGUGAAAUGCGUAGAGAUGUGGAGGAAUACCGAUGGCGAAGGCAGCCUCCUGGGCCAACACUGACGCUCAUGCACGAAAGCCAGGGGAGCGAACGGG